GACGAACGCUGGCGGCGUGCUUAACACAGGCAAGUCGAACGGAAAGGCCCUGCUUUUGUGGGGUGCUCGAGUGGCGAACGGGUGAGUAACACGUGAGUAACCUGCCCUUGACUUUGGGAUAACUUCAGGAAACUGGGGCUAAUACCGGAUAGGAGCUCCUGCUGCAUGGUGGGGGUUGGAAAGUUUCGGCGGUUGGGGAUGGACUCGCGGCUUAUCAGCUUGUUGGUGGGGUAGUGGCUUACCAAGGCUUUGACGGGUAGCCGGCCUGAGAGGGUGACCGGCCACAUUGGGACUGAGAUACGGCCCAGACUCCUACGGGAGGCAGCAGUGGGGAAUAUUGCACAAUGGGCGGAAGCCUGAUGCAGCAACGCCGCGUGCGGGAUGACGGCCUUCGGGUUGUAACCCGCUUUCGCCUGUGACGAAGCGUGAGUGACGGUAAUGGGUAAAGAAGCACCGGCUAACUACGUG
Molecule: ribosomal RNA, 468 nt
Filed under: uncultured bacterium
Lineage: Bacteria
Description: partial 16S ribosomal RNA
Rfam family: Bacterial small subunit ribosomal RNA
Source: RNAcentral